RNAcentral lists this unclassified non-coding RNA (263 nucleotides) under plant metagenome. RNAcentral describes it as "partial contains small subunit ribosomal RNA, internal transcribed spacer 1, and 5.8S ribosomal RNA". The record is from RNAcentral.
UUUCCGUAGGUGAGCCUGCGGAAGGAUCAUUAUUGUAUAACCGAGGUGCGAGGGCUGUCGCUGACUCGAAAGGUCGUGCACGCCCGAGUGCCCUCACACACAUCCAUCUCACCCCUAUGUGCACCACCGCGUGGGUCCCCCUUUGGCUUGUUCGGAGGGGGGCUUACGUUUUCACACAAACUUUGUAUGCAGUGUAGAAUGUAUUUUUUGUUUUUGCGAUCACGCAAUCAAUACAACUUUCAACAACGGAUCUCUUGGCUCUC